Molecule: ribosomal RNA, 429 nt
Filed under: bacterium
Lineage: Bacteria
Description: partial 16S ribosomal RNA
Rfam family: Bacterial small subunit ribosomal RNA
Source: RNAcentral
UAGGGAAUCUUCGGCAAUGGGGGCAACCCUGACCGAGCAACGCCGCGUGAGUGAAGAAGGUUGUCGGAUCGUAAAGCUCUGUUGUAAGAGAAGAACGUGUGUGAGAGUGGAAAGUUCACACAGUGACGGUAACUUACCAGAAAGGGACGGCUAACUACGUGCCAGCAGCCGCGGUAAUACGUAGGUCCCGAGCGUUGUCCGGAUUUAUUGGGCGUAAAGCGAGCGCAGGCGGUUUAAUAAGUCUGAAGUUAAAGGCAGUGGCUUAACCAUUGUUCGCUUUGGAAACUGUUAAGCUUGAGUGCAGAAGGGGAGAGUGGAAUUCCAUGUGUAGCGGUGAAAUGCGUAGAUAUAUGGAGGAACACCGGUGGCGAAAGCGGCUCUCUGGUCUGUAACUGACGCUGAGGCUCGAAAGCGUGGGGAGCAAACAGG